This 74-nucleotide transfer RNA is filed under the name Thermocatellispora tengchongensis. RNAcentral's name for it is "Streptosporangiaceae bacterium YIM 77521 tRNA". It matches the Rfam family "tRNA". From Rfam's summary of the family: Transfer RNA (tRNA) molecules are approximately 80 nucleotides in length. Their secondary structure includes four short double-helical elements and three loops (D, anti-codon, and T loops). The record is from Rfam by way of RNAcentral. Lineage: Bacteria; Bacillati; Actinomycetota; Actinomycetes; Streptosporangiales; Streptosporangiaceae.
CGCGGAGUAGCUCAGCCGGACAGAGCGCCUCCCUCAUAAGGAGGAGGUCGCCGGUUCGAUCCCGGCCUCCGCGA